Molecule: ribosomal RNA, 356 nt
Filed under: uncultured Sphingobacteriales bacterium
Lineage: Bacteria; Pseudomonadati; Bacteroidota; Sphingobacteriia; Sphingobacteriales
Description: bacterial SSU rRNA
Rfam family: Bacterial small subunit ribosomal RNA
Source: RNAcentral
AAUUGAGACAGGUGGUGCAUGGUUGUCGUCAGCUCGUGCCGUGAGGUGUCGGGUUAAGUCCCAUAACGAGCGCAACCCCUACCUUUAGUUGCCAUCAGGUUAAGCUGGGGACUCUAAGGAACUGCCUACGCAAGUAGUGAGGAAGGCGGGGAGUGACGUCAAAUCAGCACGGCCCUUACGUCCAGGGCUACACACGUGCUACAAUGGCCGAUACAGAGGGCAGCUACCUGGUGACAGGAUGCAAAUCUCCAAAGUCGGUCUCAGUUCGGAUCGGAGUCUGCAACCCGACUCCGUGAAGUUGGAUUCGCUAGUAAUCGCGCAUCAGCCAUGGCGCGGUGAAUACGUUCCCGGGCCUU